UCUUACGCUCUCGAUAAAGUUGUAAUUUUAUAUCCUACUAAAUAGUUAGCUAAAGAGAAUGUAUUCAUUUUCGGCUGUAACGCCCCAAAUCCAAAAACUCGCGUGAGAAAUGAACCUUUACAUUACGUAACUCGGACAUGUUUUCACGACCGGUCGCACGUCUACUGUGGACUAAUUAAUUCUAGGGCGGGAACCGGACAUCUCAUAUUUAAUUGUUCCCGCGCGGCCCGUUCGGAUUGGGAAAAAAAGAUAAUUGUUUCUAUUAUCUCCAGGAUCGAAGGAAUCUGAUAAUCGAUAAAGUAAAGUGAACUGCCACGCUGCUGUUUAGAAUAUCAAACAUAUAAUUUGAUUCUUCAACCACUGUCAAAGAGUGAUUUACAUCCAAAUUAUAGAUAUAAAAUUACCUAAACAAUUCAAAUACAUUUUUGCAACUUACUAACCCAACUUUUUAGUUUACAACUUUUAAACUU
Molecule: long non-coding RNA, 470 nt
Organism: Plodia interpunctella (Indianmeal moth)
Lineage: Eukaryota; Metazoa; Arthropoda; Insecta; Lepidoptera; Pyralidae
Exons: 3
Source: RefSeq, a predicted model, not a curated record